UAGUCUGGUGCCAGCAGCCGCGGUAAUUCCAGCUCCAAUAGCGUAUAUUAAAGUUGUUGCAGUUAAAACGCUCGUAGUCGGAUUUCGGGGCAGGUUUGCCGNUCUGCCGAUGGGUAUGCACUGGUAGAACUGUCCUUCCUUCCGGAGACGGCGCCUACUCUUAACUGAGCGGGUGUCGGAGACGGAUCGUUUACUUUGAAAAAAUCAGAGUGUUUCAAGCAGGCAGCUCGCUUUUGCAUGGAUUAGCAUGGGAUAAUGAAAUAGGACUUUGGUGCUAUUUUGUUGGUUUCGAACACCGAAGUAAUGAUUAACAGGGACAGUCAGGGGCACUCGUAUUCCGCCGAGAGAGGUGAAAUUCUUAGACCAGCGGAAGACGAACCACUGCGAAAGCAUUUGCCAGGGAUGUUUUCACUGAUCAAGAACGAAAGUUAGGGGAUCGAAGACGAUCAGAUACCGUCGUAGUCUUAACCAUAAACCAUGCCGACUAGGGAUUGGGGGAUGUUCCUAUGUGACUCCUUCAGUACCUUUCGGGAAACUAAAGUCUUUGGGUUCCGGGGGGAGUAUGGUCGCAAGGCUGAAACUUAAAGGAAUUGACGGAAGGGCACCACCAGGAGUGGAGCCUGCGGCUUAAUUUGACUCAACACGGGGAAACUUACCAGGUCCAGACAUUGUGAGGAUUGACAGAUUGAGAGCUCUUUCUUGAUUCGAUGGGUGGUGGUGCAUGGCCGUUCUU
Molecule: ribosomal RNA, 733 nt
Filed under: uncultured eukaryote
Lineage: Eukaryota
Description: SSU rRNA
Rfam family: Eukaryotic small subunit ribosomal RNA
Source: RNAcentral